Anthonomus grandis grandis is the source of this 682-nucleotide long non-coding RNA. RefSeq lists it as uncharacterized. The transcript is spliced from 2 exons. The record is from RefSeq and is a predicted model, not a curated record. Lineage: Eukaryota; Metazoa; Arthropoda; Insecta; Coleoptera; Curculionidae.
UAGAAGAGAGAAAUGAUGUAAUUAUUAACUACAGAAAUUUAUACUAUUUAAGUAGUGUAAGGGCUAUGUACAAUAAUCAAGAAAUUAGGACUAUAAAGAUAAAUAUGAAUACAAUUCCUCAAGACUAUAUUGGCAGACAUCCAGGAUAAGCCUUUUUAAAUUAUUUUUAAAUAUUGAUGCCUAGUGGGAGACUCUAUACAACAGGUGACAAGGAGUUGUAUAGCUUUUUUGAAACUGUUCGAACGUUGUUUUGAGUUAAGGUUAGUUGAGUCAAUGUAGUGGAAGCAACAACAACAAGAAACUGCUGUAUUGAGCAUUAUGUGUAUGUCUAUCUCUAACUGUACCAAAUUCAGAAAGAUGUGUUUUUUUUAUGCAACAGUUUUUACCAUAGGAUAGCCUUGAAUAAAAAGACAGAUAUAUGAAGUCUGGCUGACUUUAAGGGAAGCCAUUCUGGAGACCUGGUAUAGUAGGUACAGGAUAGAAGCAAGUUUUUUCAAAAGCUGAUUGACAUGUGGCUUCCAAGUUAGUCUGGUAUCAAUACAUAUGCCAAUAAACCUCACAGGGCAUGCCUUUAUUUUUUUAAGGCAAAAAAGACAUAUUUAGUCUUUUCUAUGUUGAUACAUAAAUUAUUACCUGCAAAUGACAUUUGGAUCAUCAGUUAUUAAAGCCGCAGCUACUUGAA